GACGAACGCUGGCGGCGUGCCUAAUACAUGCAAGUCGAACGAGAGCGACCGGUGCUUGCACUGGUCAAUCUAGUGGCGAACGGGUGAGUAACACGUGGGUAACCUGCCCAUCAGAGGGGGAUAACAUCCGGAAACGGAUGCUAAAACCGCAUAGGUCUUCGAGCCGCAUGGCUUGAAGAGGAAAAGAGGCGCAAGCUUCUGCUGAUGGAUGGACCCGCGGUGCAUUAGCUAGUUGGUGAGGUAACGGCUCACCAAGGCCGUGAUGCAUAGCCGACCUGAGAGGGUGAUCGGCCACAUUGGGAAUGAGACACGGCCCAAACUCCUACGGGAGGCAGCAGUAGGGAAUCUUCCGCAAUGGACGCAAGUCUGACGGAGCAACGCCGCGUGAGUGAAGAAGGUGUUCGGAUCGUAAAACUCUGUUGUUAGAGAAGAACAAGUGCUAGAGUAACUGUUAGCGCCUUGACGGUAUCUAACCAGAAAGCCACGGCUAACUACGUG
RNAcentral lists this ribosomal RNA (498 nucleotides) under uncultured bacterium. RNAcentral describes it as "partial 16S ribosomal RNA". It matches the Rfam family "Bacterial small subunit ribosomal RNA", at positions 28 to 507 of the family's 1533-position model. The record is from RNAcentral.